UUGCACGCUGGCGGCAUGCCUUACACAUGCAAAUCGAACGGUAACGGGCCUUCGGGUGCCGACGAGUGGCGAACGGGUGAGUAAUACAUCGGAACGUGCCCGAUCGUGGGGGAUAACGAGGCGAAAGCUUUGCUAAUACCGCAUACGAUCUACGGAUGAAAGCAGGGGACCGCAAGGCCUUGCGCGGACGGAGCGGCCGAUGGCAGAUUAGGUAGUUGGUGGGAUAAAAGCUUACCAAGCCGACGAUCUGUAGCUGGUCUGAGAGGAUGAUCAGCCACACUGGGACUGAGACACGGCCCAGACUCCUACGGGAGGCAGCAGUGGGGAAUUUUGGACAAUGGGCGCAAGCCUGAUCCAGCCAUGCCGCGUGCAGGAUGAAGGCCUUCGGGUUGUAAACUGAUUUUGUACGGAACGAAAAGCCUUCUUUUAAUACAGGAGGGUCAUGACGGUACCGUAAGAAUAAGCACCGGCUAACUACGUG
Molecule: ribosomal RNA, 481 nt
Filed under: uncultured bacterium
Lineage: Bacteria
Description: partial 16S ribosomal RNA
Rfam family: Bacterial small subunit ribosomal RNA
Source: RNAcentral